Molecule: long non-coding RNA, 675 nt
Organism: Suricata suricatta (meerkat)
Lineage: Eukaryota; Metazoa; Chordata; Mammalia; Carnivora; Herpestidae
Exons: 3
Source: RefSeq, a predicted model, not a curated record
AACACAAAACUCUAAUGUUCCUGACAAAGGGCCGUGAAGGGUCGGAGCACCUUCUGGGAUUAGCCGGCUAAACACAGGAGCCACGGCUCUGCCACACAGACCAGUUCAGUUCAAGACAAACGCACCAGGAAUCAGAAAUGCGAUGUGUCUGCCCACCGAUUUUCGGGAGAAGGCCUCAUAUAUAUUUUUUAUUCAUAGAUCUUAUCCUCAAUGGCACCUCUUACUACACAAAAGGCAAGAAAAGGUGAAGACUUCACUCCAGUGGACAAACCAACGAUCCUACUUUGGUAAUGCAAAGGCAGCUUGGACACGUCUAAAGAACUAUGUCAGUUUUGGUGCCACAUCCGAGGAGGAGGGCUGCGGAGCUGGGCUUGGCUAGAAAAACCGAUGGUGAACAUUCUGGAAAGCAUGCUGUGGAAACUGGGAAACAGUGCUGAGGCUUGUGCAGGGGCGGAAAGGUGCCUUUGGGUGGUGGAGAGCAAUGGUGAUGUCCACACAGGGAUACCGCUGUGGGAGGAGAGAGCCUGGAAAGUCAACAGUCACAGCACGUCCACGGAAAGUCCUUAGGAGUCAGGGCCAGUCACGGCUGGAGUUGGCCACUUCACAUGAAUCCAGCUAAGCCACAAGGUUCUGGGGACUUGUCGGUGGGACGCGCCCAUGCUGGGGCUCGUGAAG